RNAcentral lists this non-coding RNA (46 nucleotides) under Schistosoma mansoni. Lineage: Eukaryota; Metazoa; Platyhelminthes; Trematoda; Strigeidida; Schistosomatidae. The record is from RNAcentral.
AUCCAGCUGACGAAUCACAAAUAGGACGAAACACCGCAUCUUGGAU